Molecule: ribosomal RNA, 301 nt
Filed under: uncultured bacterium
Lineage: Bacteria
Description: partial 16S ribosomal RNA
Rfam family: Bacterial small subunit ribosomal RNA
Source: RNAcentral
CAGUAGCCGCGGGAAUACGGAGGGGGCUAGCGUUGUUCGGAAUUACUGGGCGUAAAGCGCACGUAGGCUGCUUUGUAAGUCAGAGGUGAAAGCCCAGGGCUCAACCCUGGAAUUGCCUUUAAGACUGCCGAGCUAGUAGGUGAGAGAGGUGAGUGGAAUUCCGAGUGUAGAGGUGAAAUUCGUAGAUAUUCGGAAGAACACCAGUGGCGAAGGCGGCUCACUGGCUCAUUCUAGACGCUGAGGUGCGAAAGCGUGGGGAGCAAACAGGAUUAGAUACCCCCGUAGUCCCUGUCUCUUAUAC